Drosophila ananassae is the source of this 2663-nucleotide long non-coding RNA. RefSeq lists it as uncharacterized. The transcript has 2 exons. The record is from RefSeq and is a predicted model, not a curated record. Lineage: Eukaryota; Metazoa; Arthropoda; Insecta; Diptera; Drosophilidae.
GGGGUGAUCCAGUGCAAUGAACCCCCGCGCACUUUGUAACUCGAAAUGCAAAUGCACACCAGGCCCUGGAGGGAAUAUAUCGGAAAAGACCUCUCUUUAUGGAGAAAACUAUGUACGAUACGAUACGCUAAUGUGGAGCACUCAAAACACACAGGCAGGCAGCGCCGACAUUAGGGUCUAGUUAGCAUAAUAUAAUGCAGACCGCCACCGGAGGGCGGCAUACCGAAAUAACAAUGAACACACGCAAAGUAUGUGUGUGUGUUUUGGGGGAAAGGAAAGGAAAACAUUGGGGCAGCAGUUUUGAAAACAUUUAACCGUUUCACCUCGCUGAACUCUGAGCACGAAAAAGCAAAUUAAGCAAACGAACUAAACCCCAAAUAGCGUGGCAGAGUUUUGUUUUGGGCCAGGAGCCCAAAUUUUUAAUAAAAAAAAUAAUUUAUCUUAGAAUCUUGAAAACCUCCUUUUAAACAAGAGAUACUAGACUAUCUGCAGAUUCAUUCUGAGCACUAAUUCAAAGUAUAUCAAGACAUACUUAUUGUAAAAACGCUAUUGCAAUGAUAUUGCACAUGUGCGCCCGUGAGUGCGCAUAAAAAAAAAAAAAAGCGCAAAGUGCGGCCAUAAAAAAGCACAGUUAAGCUGAUUGGCAGCCGGGUGGGGGGAGGAGGGGUUAUAAACACUGACAGGCCCUGACAACCCUGGCUGGCAGGCAGAUCUCUGCUGGUCCACCACCAACAAUGGAGCCGAUUCUUUGGCUCUAGCUUUUCAUAAAACGCCCGACGUUGUAUUGAAAUGUCACGCAAGCAAUUUACAUAAAUGGAGUUGCUUCCGCUUGGCAGAGAGGUGGCGGAGAGAGGAAAAAGGAAAGAGUGGAGAGAGGAUAGAGAGGGGAAAAGCAAAUAGCAAACAACAAUGCAUCUGAGAAAAGUAUCUGUAUCUGUAUCUGCGUAUCUGAGCGCAGCACACGUACGAAAACAACUGUUAGCAAGUGGCGAAUGGCAGGGCGAAAGGUAUGAGCCGAUAGCUGGCAAAGCGGAAGCAGACGAAGGAAUCGAAUCGAUCAAACAAUUUCCGAGCCUGUUCGUCUGCCGAAACUACACAGAAAAAAAAGUAUAUAACUUUAAUUAAUUUUUUUUUUAAUUAAAUGAAAAUUUUAAUAAACAGUUAUACAUAUAACUUAAAAGACUAUCUUUGAAAUAGAUCUAAAUAGUUCAAGUCAUGCAUCUCUACUAUAUCCCCCACUGACCAACUUCACGGUCAGUUAACACCUUAAUUUGGCUACAAAUUGCUCAAGUUUUGAAUUUCUUCUGCUUUUCCCAUUUUCUUUUGGCCUCUUGUUUUGGAGGGCAAGCUGGGAAUCCAAUCCGAUGAUGACUGGGAAAAGCCGAUGCGUGGACGCACGUGUUGGCCGCGUUAACACCGCGAACCAUGCUAUUUGUUGGAAAAUCAAUUUGGCCGUGAAAUUGGGCGCAUAGCGAAAAACGUGCUUUCCGCACCCCAAAAAAUACAUACUUGGCCUUAUGCGACGACGCAAAGAAGCCAGCCGGCCCCUCCGAACAUCCUGGCAUUGAGCAGGACCUCUCUAAACCUAACCUCAAAAAACCGAACAAAAAUCGAGGAAAACUGUCGGAAAACUUGGGGCAGGCAAUGGCCAGUAAGCACUGCCACCGUUGGUGGUGGUUGGUUCCCAGCUAUGAAAUCAUUUCCGCUGACAUAAGUGGGUGUGGUCCCCCAGGGACCGACUGUGGGCACACUUGUCACACUCGAAAAUUAAUAAUUAGAGCCGAGCAGCUGCACAAAAUCAAUAAAAAUUAUACGUUGAGAGUGCAGCGAUUUAUCCAAUAAGUUUGCCUGUUGCCAGGCGGGGCAGGAGACCCAACCACUGAACCCACCCCCUGAACAAAAUCCCGAUGACUAAGAACGAUUUCGCUUUCCUUGACCAAAAGUCCAACAAAAGAUGGAAAAGAUGGAAACGCGUGCCCGACACCUUUCACUUUAUUUGUUAGUCGCUGAAAAAAUAUGUGUGUUAAGCUAAUGAAUGAGCGAUUGAAUGAAUGACUGAAUGCCAAAAGAUGCUGCACGACUUUAACAAUAAAGAGACUCUAAGAUGUGUAUGUCCACGCACCAGAGGGAGAUAGAUAAUAGCCGAGACCAGACAUGGGUUGGAAGGGGGAAAACAGAUAUCAAUAUCGAAAGUUGGCAAGGCGUACGCACCUGAUUUUUAGCCAAGAUGCCGUCCAGGUCCAGGUCCAGUGCCCGCUUGCAUACACUAAAUUAAUAUCAAUUUGCGGGCCAAGCCAAGUGAUGUUAUAGCCCGGUUAUAGGUCUACCCGCCGAUUUCCAAGUCGCUUGAAGGAAAGCGCCGCUAAUGAGUGGAGGAAAGGAAAGCGGACUCGUAUCACCAGUUGUUGUUGUUGCUUGUUGCUGUUGCACACACUCGAAACAAUUUGUUCUUUUUUCCCCAACAACACGUUAUUGAAUCUCUUUCACUAACUGGUUUUCACUGCUCGCCAAUAUACACACACACACAAACACACACACCAACCACUUUCCAGGGUUCUCUUUUUUUUCGGCGAUUACUGCGAUUGCACCAAAUCCGUGUCCGGCGCUUCAAAUGGAAUGUUAGGGCCACUCGGCGGCCAACAAUUGGCUAACUAAGCUAGUCG